AUCGUAGUCUAAUGGAUAGAACGCAGGACUCCGACUCCUGUAAUGUGGGUUCGAUUCCCGCCGGUCG
RNAcentral lists this transfer RNA (67 nucleotides) under uncultured Roseburia sp. It matches the Rfam family "tRNA". Rfam says of the family: Transfer RNA (tRNA) molecules are approximately 80 nucleotides in length. Their secondary structure includes four short double-helical elements and three loops (D, anti-codon, and T loops). The record is from RNAcentral. Lineage: Bacteria; Bacillati; Bacillota; Clostridia; Lachnospirales; Lachnospiraceae.